CCUACGGGUGGCUGCAGUGGGGAAUAUUGGACAAUGGGCGCAAGCCUGAUCCAGCAAUGCCGCGUGGGUGAAGAAGGUCUUCGGAUCGUAAAGCCCUUUCGACGGGGACGAUGAUGACGGUACCCGUAGAAGAAGCCCCGGCUAACUUCGUGCCAGCAGCCGCGGUAAUACGAAGGGGGCUAGCGUUGCUCGGAAUUACUGGGCGUAAAGGGCGCGUAGGCGGUCAUUUUAGUCAGGCGUGAAAUUCCCGGGCUUAACCUGGGGACUGCGCUUGAUACUGGGUGACUUGAGGGUGGAAGAGGGUCGUGGAAUUCGCAGUGUAGAGGUGAAAUUCGUAGAUAUUGGGAAGAACACCGGUGGCGAAGGCGGCGACCUGGUCCAUUACUGACGCUGAGGCGCGACAGCGUGGGGAGCAAACAGGAUUAGAUACCCGAGUAGUC
Molecule: ribosomal RNA, 440 nt
Filed under: uncultured bacterium
Lineage: Bacteria
Description: partial 16S ribosomal RNA
Rfam family: Bacterial small subunit ribosomal RNA
Source: RNAcentral